GACGAACGCUGGCGGCAUGCCUAAUACAUGCAAGUCGGACGGAUAUGUUUAAAUGACAUAUCAGUGGCGAACGGGUGAGUAACACGUAAGUGACCUACCUGUACGACGAGGAUAACCACUGGAAACGGUAGCUAAUACUGGAUAGGAUAUAUACCAUAAGGGUAUAUAUUUAAAGGUCCUAAGGGACCGCGUACAGAAGGGCUUGCGGCGCAUUAGCUAGUUGGUGGGGUAAAGGCCUACCAAGGCGACGAUGCGUAGCCGACCUGAGAGGGUGACCGGCCACACUGGGACUGAGAGACGGCCCAGACUCCUACGGGAGGCAGCAGUAGGGAAUCUUCGGCAAUGGACGGAAGUCUGACCGAGCGAUGCCGCGUGAGCGAAGAAGGUCUUCGGAUUGUAAAGCUCUGUGAUUAGGGAAGAAGGCUAUUAGGAGGGAAUGCCUAAUAGGUGACGGUACCUAAUUAGAAAGCCACGGCUAACUACGUG
This 486-nucleotide ribosomal RNA is filed under the name uncultured bacterium. Its description in RNAcentral is "bacterial SSU rRNA". It matches the Rfam family "Bacterial small subunit ribosomal RNA", at positions 28 to 507 of the family's 1533-position model. The record is from RNAcentral.